This is a long non-coding RNA of Mus musculus (house mouse), 1872 nucleotides long. RefSeq annotates it as predicted gene 20467. The transcript is spliced from 3 exons. The record is from RefSeq and is a predicted model, not a curated record. NCBI's taxonomy places the organism in Eukaryota, Metazoa, Chordata, Mammalia, Rodentia, Muridae.
GCCCUUGCAGCCCUCGAAGUGGCUUCAGAGAGCAGGUCUGUAGAAGACAAGACGACCGAGUUCUGUUAGUGUGCAGAGGCUCUAUGCUUCGAAGCCUGGCCUGAGUCAGUAUUUGGUUUUGGACGUUCUCAGUUUCCUGGUCAAUAUAAAGGAGCCGAAUUGCCUCUUCUAGGGUUAUUGUUGGAGUUUUUUUGUUUUUGUUUUUUAAAGGAUAACCAGGCCGGAAGCAUAGCACAGUUGUCUACUUAAAGCAAAGAGCUCAAUACUUGUAACUACCCUUGUUCUUUGUGGGAGGUCAGAGCAGUGUUUGUUGCCUGCAUUGAUUCUGACCGGGCUGGUGUUCCACUGCACACACUGGGUGGCUCUGGUCUCAGAAGGGAGGGGACCCCCGCUGUGGCUGCAGCUCAGGCAGCCUUCUGAAGGGAAUCGGGAGCCCGAGCCUAGGCCUCAACUUUCUGAAACGCCUUAUUUCUCUCUUUCUGAAACCGUGGUUGUGUUCUGCAGGGAGACUAAAUGCAGCCUCAGAUUCAGAAAACUGCCUGAUGGAGACCACCUUCUGGUAUCCACCCGCCUACAUACCUAGCCCCUGAGUGAACCUCACAGUUUGGGAGAGACCGGCCUCAACUAGAAGGGUUCGCCGGAUGGCGGCGCGGUGACCGAGGACGACGCCCUAGGAAACUUGUAGACAGGGCAUGAAUGCGGAUUACGUGGAGAGCGGCCUUGCGGAACCCCGAGGCGGCAGCGAGAGGAGUUGAUGCCCUUGGUCCUGGAAAGAAAGAACUGCGGGUUGGGAGGAGAGAGAGGCGGGGCUCUUGGGGGGGGAGCGGAAAUACAGCGGGGAGGCAGCUCGUGGGGCCACCCGGGAGGCUGGUACGAGGCUCCCUCCACGUGCUCUGGGGGAGAUGGGGAAAGAUCAUCUGUGGUUAGGCCCCGGCUCCUUGAAACCAUUCCUUGGUCGCAGGAGCCUUUUUGCUCUAAGACUUGAAACUAGACGCUGCGGGCAGAGGCCGUGGUCUCUACAAAGGGCCCGCCAGCCCACCAAGGGAAGGAAGAGUGUGCCUGGUUUUGCUGUGGAUCCGAAGCUCAAACAUCCAGAGGUGGGAUCCAGGCCAACUUGCUUCAGAGCAGGCUGGACAGGACCGGGCCUGUAAGAAUUCUCUGGUGAACGCGCCAGUUUGUGGUAUCAAUGGCCUAAUCCCAUCUUUCCCAUCCCCAUCCCAGCACACCACUGGAGACUUCCACCCACCCUUUGAUUUUUGCCUAGCUGACGGACGAGUUCGGGGUCAUUUCCAAUUUCCCUUUCCAAAUUGCCUAGUCUUGACUUAUCCUGGUUUCUAAGUAGCGGGUACCCAACAAGGAUCCCAGGCAGGCCAACUCCAUCCAGGUAGCCUCCCUUUCCCGCGUCAGCAGCAGGCACCUGAGACACCCCACAGUCUGUGCGCUGCCAACUGUGAGCCGCCCUAGGGCAGAAAAACUGCUUAUCAGACACAGAAUCUAGCUCCACUUGUAUCCAGUUACUAGUAUGUUCUGGGGGCAUUUGUAUUCUCUUGUCUGAAAAGAUCUUAGAAAUCUUGGAUCCGUGCUCAAUUAACAAUAGGUUUUCCUAUCAGACAAUUCAGCCAAUUACUGUCAGAUAAAGUAAAUAUGAUUAUGCAGUUUGGGUUUUUGUCUCUAUGUCUGCCUGGGUUCAUCUCCAUCAUUUGGAACAUAUCACAAGCCCCUCCCGUGGGAUAUUUGAUUACAGAUCUUGCUGUAGUGGUGGCAAAUUCCCUGGGGGAUACUUUAUAGAGGCAUAUAUUACUAAAUAAAGCGACACCUGUAAUGUUAAUCAUUACAAUAAAUGCAUUACCAACUGAAAAUGUAAUUUUAAAA